AGAGUUUGAUCCUGGCUCAGGACGAACGCUGGCGGUGUGCUUCACACAUGCAAGUCGAGCGAAUGAAGUAGGUAGCUUGCUACUUAUGGAUUUAGCGGCGGACGGGUGAGUAAUAUAUAGGAAUCUGCCUUAGAGCGGGGAACAACAGACCGAAAGGUUUGCUAAUGCCCCAUAGGUAUGCAGUCUUCGGAUUGUAUAUUAAAGGAGUAAUCCACUCUAAGAUGAGCCUGUAUCCGAUUAGCUAGUUGGCGGGGUAAAGGCCCACCAAGGCUACGAUCGGUAGUUGGUCUGAGAGGAUGAUCAGCCACAAUGGGACUGAGACACGGCCCAUACUCCUACGGGAGGCAGCAGUGGGGAAUUUUACACAAUGGGGGAAACCCUGAUGUAGCGACACCGCGUGAACGAAGAAGCCUUUUGGGGUGUAAAGUUCUGUCGGCUGGAACGAAAAAAAUGACGGUACCAGCAAAGGAAGCAUCGGCUAACUACGUGCCAGCAGCCGCGGUGAGACGUAGGAUGCAAGCGUUGUCCGGAUUUAUUGGGCGUAAAGAGUUCGUAGGCGGUUAUUUAAGUCUGAUGUUAAAUACUGUGGCCCAACCACAGAACUGCAUUGGAUACUGGAUGACUUGAGUGCGGUAGAGGCAAGUGGAAUUCCCAGUGUAGCGGUGAAAUGCGUAGA
Molecule: ribosomal RNA, 676 nt
Filed under: uncultured bacterium
Lineage: Bacteria
Description: bacterial SSU rRNA
Rfam family: Bacterial small subunit ribosomal RNA
Source: RNAcentral